Molecule: ribosomal RNA, 657 nt
Filed under: Serratia sp. M9-CHR-4-3-W
Lineage: Bacteria; Pseudomonadati; Pseudomonadota; Gammaproteobacteria; Enterobacterales; Yersiniaceae
Description: bacterial SSU rRNA
Rfam family: Bacterial small subunit ribosomal RNA
Source: RNAcentral
AUUGAACGCUGGCGGCAGGCCUAACACAUGCAAGUCGAGCGGUAGCACGGGAGAGCUUGCUCUCUGGGUGACGAGCGGCGGACGGGUGAGAAAUGUCUGGGAAACUGCCUGAUGGAGGGGGAUAACUACUGGAAACGGUAGCUAAUACCGCAUGACCUCGCAAGAGCAAAGUGGGGGACCUUCGGGCCUCACGCCAUCGGAUGUGCCCAGAUGGGAUUAGCUAGUAGGUGGGGUAAUGGCUCACCUAGGCGACGAUCCCUAGCUGGUGUGAGAGGAUGACCAGCCACACUGGAACUGAGACACGGUCCAGACUCCUACGGGAGGCAGCAGUGGGGAAUAUUGCACAAUGGGCGCAAGCCUGAUGCAGCCAUGCCGCGUGUGUGAAGAAGGCCUUAGGGUUGUAAAGCACUUUCAGCGAGGAGGAAGGCGUUGUAGUUAAUAGCUGCAGCGAUUGACGUUACUCGCAGAAGAAGCACCGGCUAACUCCGUGCCAGCAGCCGCGGUAAUACGGAGGGUGCAAGCGUUAAUCGGAAUUACUGGGCGUAAAGCGCACGCAGGCGGUUUGUUAAGUCAGAUGUGAAAUCCCCGAGCUUAACUUGGGAACUGCAUUUGAAACUGGCAAGCUAGAGUCUUGUAGAGGGGGGUAGAAUUCCAGGU